AUGCCUUACACAUGCAAGUCGAACGGUAACAGGUCUUCGGAUGCUGACGAGUGGCGAACGGGUGAGUAAUACAUCGGAACGUGCCCGAGAGUGGGGGAUAACGAAGCGAAAGCUUUGCUAAUACCGCAUACGAUCUCAGGAUGAAAGCAGGGGACCGCAAGGCCUUGCGCUCACGGAGCGGCCGAUGGCAGAUUAGGUAGUUGGUGGGAUAAAAGCUUACCAAGCCGACGAUCUGUAGCUGGUCUGAGAGGACGACCAGCCACACUGGGACUGAGACACGGCCCAGACUCCUACGGGAGGCUGCAGUGGGGAAUUUUGGACAAUGGGCGCAAGCCUGAUCCAGCCAUGCCGCGUGCAGGAUGAAGGCCUUCGGGUUGUAAACUGCUUUUGUACGGAACGAAAAGACUCCUUGUAAUAAAGGGGGUCCAUGACGGUACCGGAAGAAUAAGCACCGGCUAACUUCGUGCCAGCAGCCGCGGUAAUACGUAGGGUGCGAGCGUUAAUCGGAAUUACUGGGCGUAAAGCGUGCGCAGGCGGUGAUGUAAGACAGAUGUGAAAUCCCCGGGCUCAACCUGGGAACUGCAUUUGUGACUGCAUCGCUGGAGUGCGGCAGAGGGGGAUGGAAUUCCGCGUGUAGCAGUGAAAUUCGUAGAUAUGCGGAGGAACACCGAUGGCGAAGGCAAUCCCCUGGGCCUGCACUGACGCUCAUGCACGAAAGCGUGGGGAGCAAACAGGAUUAGAUACCCUGGUAGUCCACGCCCUAAACGAUGUCAACUGGUUGUUGGGUCUUCACUGACUCAGUAACGAAGCUAACGCGUGAAGUUGUCCGCCUGGGGAGU
This 839-nucleotide ribosomal RNA is filed under the name Acidovorax sp. RNAcentral describes it as "bacterial SSU rRNA". It matches the Rfam family "Bacterial small subunit ribosomal RNA", at positions 44 to 881 of the family's 1533-position model. Lineage: Bacteria; Pseudomonadati; Pseudomonadota; Betaproteobacteria; Burkholderiales; Comamonadaceae. The record is from RNAcentral.